CGGGAGACACACGGCGGGUGCUAACGUCCGUCGUGAAGAGGGAAACAACCCAGACCGCCAGCUAAGGUCCCAAAGUCAUGGUUAAGUGGGAAACGAUGUGGGAAGGCCCAGACAGCCAGGAUGUUGGCUUAGAAGCAGCCAUCAUUUAAAGAAAGCGUAAUAGCUCACUGGUCGAGUCGGCCUGCGCGGAAGAUGUAACGGGGCUAAACCAUGCACCGAAGCUGCGGCAGCGACGCUUAUGCGUUGUUGGGUAGGGGAGCGUUCUGUAAGCCUGCGAAGGUGUGCUGUGAGGCAUGCUGGAGGUAUCAGAAGUGCGAAUGCUGACAUAAGUAACGAUAAAGCGGGUGAAAAGCCCGCUCGCCGGAAGACCAAGGGUUCCUGUCCAACGUUAAUCGGGGCAGGGUGAGUCGACCCCUAAGGCGAGGCCGAAAGGCGUAGUCGAUGGGAAACAGGUUAAUAUUCCUGUACUUGGUGUUACUGCGAAGGGGGGACGGAGAAGGCUAUGUUGGCCGGGCGACGGUUGUCCCGGUUUAAGCGUGUAGGCUGGUUUUCCAGGCAAAUCCGGAAAAUCAAGGCUGAGGCGUGAUGACGAGGCACUACGGUGCUGAAGCAACAAAUGCCCUGCUUCCAGGAAAAGCCUCUAAGCAUCAGGUAACAUCAAAUCGUACCCCAAACCGACACAGGUGGUCAGGUAGAGAAUACCAAGGCGCUUGAGAGAACUCGGGUGAAGGAACUAGGCAAAAUGGUGCCGUAACUUCGGGAGAAGGCACGCUGAUAUGUAGGUGAAGUCCCUCGCGGAUGGAGCUGAAAUCAGUCGAAGAUACCAGCUGGCUGCAACUGUUUAUUAAAAACACAGCACUGUGCAAACACGAAAGUGGACGUAUACGGUGUGACGCCUGCCCGGUGCCGGAAGG
Molecule: ribosomal RNA, 914 nt
Filed under: Escherichia coli
Lineage: Bacteria; Pseudomonadati; Pseudomonadota; Gammaproteobacteria; Enterobacterales; Enterobacteriaceae
Description: partial 23S ribosomal RNA
Rfam family: Bacterial large subunit ribosomal RNA
Source: RNAcentral